RNAcentral lists this ribosomal RNA (402 nucleotides) under uncultured bacterium. RNAcentral describes it as "bacterial SSU rRNA". It matches the Rfam family "Bacterial small subunit ribosomal RNA", at positions 355 to 774 of the family's 1533-position model. The record is from RNAcentral.
UGGGGAAUCUUGCACAAUGGGGGAAACCCUGAUGCAGCGACGCCGCGUGAACGAUGAAGCCCUUCGGGGUGUAAAGUUCUUUCGACGGGGACGAUAAUGACGGUACCCGGAGAAGAAGCUGCGGCUAACUACGUGCCAGCAGCCGCGGUAAUACGUAGGCAGCAAGCGUUGUUCGGAAUUACUGGGCGUAAAGAGUGCGUAGGCGGUUAACUAAGUUUGGUGUGAAAUCUCCCGGCUUAACUGGGAGGGUGCGCCGAAAACUGGCUAGCUAGAGUGUGGGAGAGGAUAGUGGAAUUCCUGGUGUAGCGGUGAAAUGCGUAGAUAUCAGGAGGAACACCUGCGGUGUAGACGGCUAUCUGGACCAUGACUGACGCUGAGGCACGAAAGCGUGGGUAGCAAACA